CCUGUCUCUGACAGGUCGGGAUGUGACUUCACACGGAGUUGAACCACUUG
This 50-nucleotide non-coding RNA is filed under the name unclassified sequences. RNAcentral's name for it is "eL15-Euryarchaeota ribosomal protein leader". It matches the Rfam family "eL15-Euryarchaeota ribosomal protein leader". The record is from RNAcentral.